GUGGAUUAGAUACCCUGGUAGUCCACGCCCUAAACGAUGUCAACUAGCUGUUGGGGGUUUGAAUCCUUGGUAGCGAAGCUAACGCGAGAAGUUGACCGCCUGGGGAGUACGGCCGCAAGGUUAAAACUCAAAGGAAUUGACGGGGACCCGCACAAGCGGUGGAUGAUGUGGAUUAAUUCGAUGCAACGCGAAAAACCUUACCUGGUCUUGACAUGUAACGAAUCCUUGAGAGAUUGAGGAGUGCCCGAAAGGGAGCGUUAACACAGGUGCUGCAUGGUCGUCGCCAACU
This 289-nucleotide ribosomal RNA is filed under the name uncultured bacterium. RNAcentral describes it as "partial 16S ribosomal RNA". It matches the Rfam family "Bacterial small subunit ribosomal RNA", at positions 773 to 1060 of the family's 1533-position model. The record is from RNAcentral.